AGUGAACGCUGGCGGUAGGCCUAACACAUGCAAGUCGAACGGCAGCACAGGAGAGCUUGCUCUCUGGGUGGCGAGUGGCGGACGGGUGAGGAAUACAUCGGAAUCUACUCUGUCGUGGGGGAUAACGUAGGGAAACUUACGCUAAUACCGCAUACGACCUACGGGUGAAAGCAGGGGAUCUUCGGACCUUGCGCGAUUGAAUGAGCCGAUGUCGGAUUAGCUAGUUGGCGGGGUAAAGGCCCAACAAGGCGACGAUCCGUAGCUGGUCUGAGAGGAUGAUCAGCCACACUGGAACUGAGACACGGUCCAGACUCCUACGGGAGGCAGCAGUGGGGAAUAUUGGACAAUGGGCGCAAGCCUGAUCCAGCCAUACCGCGUGGGUGAAGAAGGCCUUCGGGUUGUAAAGCCCUUUUGUUGGGAAAGAAAUCCAGCUGGCUAAUACCCGGUUGGGAUGACGGUACCCAAAGAAUAAGCACCGGCUAACUUCGUGCCAGCAGCCGCAGUAA
This 506-nucleotide ribosomal RNA is filed under the name uncultured bacterium. RNAcentral's name for it is "partial 16S ribosomal RNA". It matches the Rfam family "Bacterial small subunit ribosomal RNA", at positions 29 to 523 of the family's 1533-position model. The record is from RNAcentral.